GGAUUCCCCUAGUAACGGCGAGUGAACGGGGAAGAGCCCAGCGCAAAAUCUCUUCGCUCUAACGGGUGAAGAGAGGUGUUGCGUAUAGUAGGCGAAUUUCCUUGAUGGCUGUCGACUUAAAUUCUCCUUGACUGGGGUUCCAGAGAAGGUGAAAGGCCUGUUCAGUCGAUGGCCGUCUUGGAUUCCGCUCUACUUGGAGUCGGGUUGUUUGGGAACGCAGCCCAAAUUGGGUGGUAAACUUCAUCUAAGGCUAAAUACGGCCACGAAACCGAUAGCAAACAAGUACCGUGAGGGAAAGUUGAAAAGUACUUUGAAGAGAGAGUUCAAGAGGACGUGAAACCGGUAGGGUGGAAACGGAUAGAGCCAAUGAACAAGCCCGUAUUCAGCUAGUCGGCUGCGUGCGGCCUGUUGGUGCUUCCCGUAUGGGAGUGCUAGCGGGUGCGGUAUGCGGCUGGCUAGUGCAUUUGCGGGUGAUGUGCGCUGCGGCRUGUGCUGGAGUCCUGCGAACUGUCGUUAGAGGCCAUCGCUUCGGCUUUGGAACCUGGCGGCGGGUAGUAGUGAUUUCUGGUGCAUGUAGAUAGAACGGACUGGAGUCCUCGCGCUGCCGUGUUGUGGAGGCUAGCUUACUGGUCGGUCGCAUGCGACUAGGCCUUUAGGCUGGUCCCCUCGAUGCGGUAGUGCCCUGUCCGAUCCGCGGUGUAAAAGUUGGUCAUCUCUCCGACCCGUCUUGAAACACGGACCAAGGAGUCUAGCGUAUGCGCGAGUCAUUGGGUGGUAAACCCAUAGGCGUAAUGAAAGUGAAGGUUCAGCAAUGAACUGAUAUGCGAUCCGUUGGGCUACGGCCUAGCGGAGCAGCAUAGCCCCGUCUUAACUGCUUGCAGUAGGGCGGAGGUAGAGCGUAUUCGCUGGUACCCGAAAGAUGGUGAACUAUGCCUGAGCAGGAUGAAGCCAGAGGAAACUCUGGUGGAGGUCCGAAGCGCUUCUGACGUGCAAAUCGAUCGUCUGACUUGGGUAUAGGGGCGAAAGACUAAUC
RNAcentral lists this ribosomal RNA (1033 nucleotides) under Cervidellus alutus. RNAcentral describes it as "eukaryotic LSU rRNA". It matches the Rfam family "Eukaryotic large subunit ribosomal RNA", at positions 72 to 936 of the family's 3401-position model. Lineage: Eukaryota; Metazoa; Nematoda; Chromadorea; Rhabditida; Cephalobidae. The record is from RNAcentral.